UUUAUUUGAGAGUUUGAUCCUGGCUCAGGAUGAACGCUGGCGGCGUGCCUAACACAUGCAAGUUGAGCGAUUUACUUAGGUAAAGAGCGGCGGACGGGUGAGUAACGCGUGGGUAACCUACCCUGUACACACGGAUAACAUACCGAAAGGUAUGCUAAUACGGGAUAACAUAUUUGAGAGGCAUCUCUUGAAUAUCAAAGGUGAGCCAGUACAGGAUGGACCCGCGUCUGAUUAGCUAGUUGGUAAGGUAACGGCUUACCAAGGCGACGAUCAGUAGCCGACCUGAGAGGGUGAUCGGCCACA
RNAcentral lists this ribosomal RNA (303 nucleotides) under Clostridioides sp. ES-S-0077-01. Its description in RNAcentral is "partial 16S ribosomal RNA". It matches the Rfam family "Bacterial small subunit ribosomal RNA", at positions 1 to 312 of the family's 1533-position model. Lineage: Bacteria; Bacillati; Bacillota; Clostridia; Peptostreptococcales; Peptostreptococcaceae. The record is from RNAcentral.